Molecule: ribosomal RNA, 253 nt
Filed under: uncultured bacterium
Lineage: Bacteria
Description: partial 16S ribosomal RNA
Rfam family: Bacterial small subunit ribosomal RNA
Source: RNAcentral
UACGUAGGGUGCGAGCGUUGUCCGGAAUUACUGGGCGUAAAGGGCGCGUAGGCGGCGUGGUAAGUCACUUGUGAAAUCUCUGAGCUUAACUCAGAACGGCCAAGUGAUACUGCUGUGCUAGAGUGCAGAAGGGGCAAUCGGAAUUCUUGGUGUAGCGGUGAAAUGCGUAGAUAUCAAGAGGAACACCUGAGGUGAAGACGGGUUGCUGGGCUGACACUGACGCUGAGGCGCGAAAGCCAGGGGAGCGAACGGG